AUAGGGGAGCCGGAGGGAAACCGAGUCUUAAUUGGGCGUUAAGUUGCAGGGUAUAGACCCGAAACCCGGUGAUCUAGCCAUGGGCAGGUUGAAGGUUGGGUAACACUAACUGGAGGACCGAACCGACUAAUGUUGAAAAAUUAGCGGAUGACCUGUGGCUGGGGGUGAAAGGCCAAUCAAACCGGGAGAUAGCUGGUUCUCCCCGAAAGCUAUUUAGGUAGCGCCUCGUGAAUUCAUCUCCGGGGGUAGAGCACUGUUUCGGCUAGGGGGCCAUCCCGGCUUACCAACCCGAUGCAAACUGCGAAUACCGGAGAAUGUUAUCACGGGAGACACACGGCGGGUGCUAACGUCCGUCGUGAAGAGGGAAACAACCCAGACCGCCAGCUAAGGUCCCAAAGUCAUGGUUAAGUGGGAAACGAUGUGGGAAGGCCCAGACAGCCAGGAUGUUGGCUUAGAAGCAGCCAUCAUUUAAAGAAAGCGUAAUAGCUCACUGGUCGAGUCGGCCUGCGCGGAAGAUGUAACGGGGCUAAACCAUGCACCGAAGCUGCGGCAGCGAACGUAUCACCCAAGACAACUUUACGGAGUUGACGAUUGACGGAGCGAAGCGACGUCAAAGCGUUCAUUAAAGUCGAGUUGGCUUAGGGAUACGUUCGUUGGGUAGGGGAGCGUUCUGUAAGCCUGUGAAGGUGUGUCGUGAGGCAUGCUGGAGGUAUCAGAAGUGCGAAUGCUGACAUAAGUAACGAUAAAGCGGGUGAAAAGCCCGCUCGCCGGAAGACCAAGGGUUCCUGUCCAACGUUAAUCGGGGCAGGGUGAGUCGACCCCUAAGGCGAGGCCGAAAGGCGUAGUCGAUGGGAAACGGGUUAAUAUUCCCGUACUUGGUGUUACUGCGAAGGGGGGACGGAGAAGGCUAUGUUGGCCGGGCGACGGUUGUCCCGGUUUAAGCGUGUAGGUGUGUGUUCCAGGUAAAUCCGGUUCACUUUAACACUGAGGCGUGACGACGAGGCACUACGGUGCUGAAGCAACAAAUGCCCUGCUUCCAGGAAAAGCCUCUAAGCAUCAGGUAACACGAAAUCGUACCCCAAACCGACACAGGUGGUCAGGUAGAGAAUACCAAGGCGCUUGAGAGAACUCGGGUGAAGGAACUAGGCAAAAUGGUGCCGUAACUUCGGGAGAAGGCACGCUGACACGUAGGUGAAGUGAUUUACUCAUGGAGCUGAAGUCAGUCGAAGAUACCAGCUGGCUGCAACUGUUUAUUAAAAACACAGCACUGUGCAAACACGAAAGUGGACGUAUACGGUGUGACGCCUGCCCGGUGCCGGAAGGUUAAUUGAUGGGGUCAGCGUAAGCGAAGCUCCUGAUCGAAGCCCCGGUAAACGGCGGCCGUAACUAUAACGGUCCUAAGGUAGCGAAAUUCCUUGUCGGGUAAGUUCCGACCUGCACGAAUGGCGUAAUGAUGGCCAGGGCUGUCUCCACCCGAGACUCAGUGAAAUUGAACUCGCUGUGAAGAUGCAGUGUACCCGCGGCAAGACGGAAAGACCCCGUGAACCUUUACUAUAGCUUGACACUGAACAUUGAGCCUUGAUGUGUAGGAUAGGUGGGAGGCUUUGAAGUGUGGACGCCAGUCUGCAUGGAGCCGACCUUGAAAUACCACCCUUUAAUGUUUGAUGUUCUAACGUGGACCCGUAAUCCGGGUUGCGGACAGUGUCUGGUGGGUAGUUUGACUGGGGCGGUCUCCUCCUAAAGAGUAACGGAGGAGCACGAAGGUUGGCUAAUCCUGGUCGGACAUCAGGAGGUUAGUGCAAUGGCAUAAGCCAGCUUGACUGCGAGCGUGACGGCGCGAGCAGGUGCGAAAGCAGGUCAUAGUGAUCCGGUGGUUCUGAAUGGAAGGGCCAUCGCUCAACGGAUAAAAGGUACUCCGGGGAUAACAGGCUGAUACCGCCCAAGAGUUCAUAUCGACGGCGGUGUUUGGCACCUCGAUGUCGGCUCAUCACAUCCUGGGGCUGAAGUAGGUCCCAAGGGUAUGGCUGUUCGCCAUUUAAAGUGGUACGCGAGCUGGGUUUAGAACGUCGUGAGACAGUUCGGUCCCUAUCUGCCGUGGGCGCUGGAGAACUGAGGGGGGCUGCUCCUAGUACGAGAGGACCGGAGUGGACGCAUCACUGGUGUUCGGGUUGUCAUGCCAAUGGCACUGCCCGGUAGCUAAAUGCGGAAGAGAUAAGUGCUGAAAGCAUCUAAGCACGAAACUUGCCCCGAGAUGAGUUCUCCCUGAGACUUAGAGUCUCCUGAAGGAACGUUGAAGACGACGACGUUGAUAGGCCGGGUGUGUAAGCGCAGCGAUGCGUUGAGCUAACCGGUACUAAUGAACCGUGAGGCUUAACCUU
RNAcentral lists this ribosomal RNA (2378 nucleotides) under Salmonella enterica subsp. enterica serovar Typhimurium. Its description in RNAcentral is "bacterial LSU rRNA". It matches the Rfam family "Bacterial large subunit ribosomal RNA", at positions 657 to 2925 of the family's 2925-position model. The record is from RNAcentral. Lineage: Bacteria; Pseudomonadati; Pseudomonadota; Gammaproteobacteria; Enterobacterales; Enterobacteriaceae.